AAAGCAGGUUUUCGAUGGCCGCUGGUGCCUUAAACGGCACUAGAGGAAAGUCCGAGCUCCCCAGGAUGAGCGUAGCGGGUAAUACCCGUCCUCCCGCGGGGUUUUGCUUUGCAGAACCCAUGCAGGGGCGGAUCAGAGCCACAGAGACGAGUAACGAUUAUUGCUGUAACAUGGGAUUCUUGGGCCUGACGGCCUUUGGGAUUCCUGCAGUAAUCGGGAAGUGAAACGCGGCAAUCUCUACGCGGAGCAAGACCGAAUAGGCCCUGCCAUAAGAGUUCAUCCUGCUCUUCAGCAGCAGGGCGGGUAAGGUCGCUCUCUUUCCCGCAAGGGAAGAGGAUCACGCCAGCAAUGGCGUGGCUAGACAGAUGGCCAUCAAUGAGGCCUUUUGGCCCCAUUACAGAACUCGGCUUAUGAAAACCUGCUUUUUUA
Molecule: RNase P RNA, 429 nt
Filed under: Candidatus Omnitrophota bacterium
Lineage: Bacteria; Pseudomonadati; Candidatus Omnitrophota
Description: RNase P RNA component class A
Rfam family: Bacterial RNase P class A
About the family: Ribonuclease P (RNase P) is a ubiquitous endoribonuclease, found in archaea, bacteria and eukarya as well as chloroplasts and mitochondria.
Source: RNAcentral